AUACUUACCUGGACGAGGUCAAUGGGUGAUCAAAAAGGCCUUGCCUAGGCUUGUGACCUCCAUUGCACUUUGGAGGGGUGCUAGCCUAAGAUCGGCCCAAAUGGUCGAGUCUACGUCAUAAUUUGUGAUAGUGGAGGCCUCCAUUCGCGCGACCCCUAC
This 159-nucleotide small nuclear RNA is filed under the name Nicotiana sylvestris (wood tobacco). RNAcentral's name for it is "U1 spliceosomal RNA". It matches the Rfam family "U1 spliceosomal RNA". From Rfam's summary of the family: U1 is a small nuclear RNA (snRNA) component of the spliceosome (involved in pre-mRNA splicing). Its 5' end forms complementary base pairs with the 5' splice junction, thus defining the 5' donor site of an intron. RNAcentral also lists the same sequence under 1 other name. Lineage: Eukaryota; Viridiplantae; Streptophyta; Magnoliopsida; Solanales; Solanaceae. The record is from Rfam by way of RNAcentral.